UUGCGGGCUUUGUCCAAUGAAAUACUUAUCGGACAUAAAGAUUCCAGAUAAGUGUUCAUUGGAUGAAGGCAGCUA
Molecule: microRNA precursor, 75 nt
Filed under: Nicotiana sylvestris (wood tobacco)
Lineage: Eukaryota; Viridiplantae; Streptophyta; Magnoliopsida; Solanales; Solanaceae
Also listed under: 1 other name
Description: MIR6146 microRNA precursor family
Rfam family: MIR6146 microRNA precursor family
Source: Rfam by way of RNAcentral